AUUUAUUUUUUAGUAGUGGAUUUGAACGUCAUCACUGGGCGACACACGUGCUACAAUGACCGGGAUAAAGGGUUGUGAUCCUGCGAGGAUGAGCUAACCCCAAAAACUUGUCCUUAGUUCGGAUUGCAGGCUGCAACUCGCGUUCAUAAAGUCGAAAUUGUCGAUAAGCCAUACGACGGUGACUUAAUUCC
RNAcentral lists this non-coding RNA (191 nucleotides) under Nicotiana sylvestris (wood tobacco). RNAcentral describes it as "Bacterial small subunit ribosomal RNA". It matches the Rfam family "Bacterial small subunit ribosomal RNA", at positions 1012 to 1374 of the family's 1533-position model. Lineage: Eukaryota; Viridiplantae; Streptophyta; Magnoliopsida; Solanales; Solanaceae. The record is from Rfam by way of RNAcentral.